UUGAAGAGUUUGAUCCUGGCUCAGAGCGAACGCUGGCGGCGUGCUUAACACAUGCAAGUCGAACGGAUCCGGGGGGCAACCCUCGGGUUAGUGGCGAACGGGUGAGUAACACGUGGGUAAUCUCCCCCCGAGUGAGGGAUAAGCUUGCGAAAGCGGGUCUAAUACCGCAUGACGCUUCGGGACGUAAGUCUUCGAAGUUAAAGCCGUAAGGCGCUUGGGGAUGAGCCUGCGUCCUAUUAGCUAGUUGGUAGGGUAAUGGCCUACCAAGGCGAUGAUGGG
Molecule: ribosomal RNA, 279 nt
Filed under: Candidatus Aminicenantes bacterium RBG_16_66_30
Lineage: Bacteria; Candidatus Aminicenantota
Description: partial 16S ribosomal RNA
Rfam family: Bacterial small subunit ribosomal RNA
Source: RNAcentral